GGAGUGCUUGCACUCUGUGAAACAAGAUACAGGCUAGCGGCGGACGGGUGAGUAACACGUGGGUAACCUGCCCAAGAGAUCGGGAUAACACCUGGAAACAGAUGCUAAUACCGGAUAACAACAGAUGAUGCCUAUCAACUGUUUAAAAGAUGGUUCUGCUAUCACUCUUGGAUGGACCUGCGGUGCAUUAGCUAGUUGGUAGGGUAACGGCCUACCAAGGCGAUGAUGCAUAGCCGAGUUGAGAGACUGAUCGGCCACAUUGGGACUGAGGCACGGCCCAAACUCCUACGGGAGGCAGCAGUAGGGAAUCUUCCACAAUGGACGCAAGUCCGAUGGAGCAACGCCGCGUGAGUGAAGAAGGGUUUCGGCUCGUAAAGCUCAGUUGUUGGUGAAGAA
This 396-nucleotide ribosomal RNA is filed under the name uncultured Lactobacillus sp. Its description in RNAcentral is "bacterial SSU rRNA". It matches the Rfam family "Bacterial small subunit ribosomal RNA", at positions 73 to 449 of the family's 1533-position model. Lineage: Bacteria; Bacillati; Bacillota; Bacilli; Lactobacillales; Lactobacillaceae. The record is from RNAcentral.